Molecule: ribosomal RNA, 255 nt
Filed under: uncultured bacterium
Lineage: Bacteria
Description: partial 16S ribosomal RNA
Rfam family: Bacterial small subunit ribosomal RNA
Source: RNAcentral
UACGUAGGGUGCAAGCGUUGUCCGGAAUUAUUGGGCGUAAAGAGCUCGUAGGCGGCUUGUCACGUCGGGUGUGAAAGCCCCGGGCUCAACCCGGGAAUGGCAUUGGAAACUGGCUUGCUAGAGUGUGGCAGAGGGGGGGUGGAAUUCCGCGUGUAGCAGUGAAAUGCGUAGAGAUGCGGAGGAACACCGAUGGCGAAGGCAGCCCCCUGGGCUGACACUGACGCUCAGGCACGAAAGCGUGGGGAGCAAACAGGG